UAGGGAAUCUUCGGCAAUGGGGGGAACCCUGACCGAGCAACGCCGCGUGAGUGAAGAAGGUUUUCGGAUCGUAAAGCUCUGUUGUUAAGGAAGAACGAGUGUGAGAAUGGAAAGUUCAUACUGUGACGGUACUUAACCAGAAAGGGACGGCUAACUACGUGCCAGCAGCCGCGGUAAUACGUAGGUCCCGAGCGUUGUCCGGAUUUAUUGGGCGUAAAGCGAGCGCAGGCGGUUAGAUAAGUCUGAAGUUAAAGGCAGUGGCUCAACCAUUGUAGGCUUUGGAAACUGUUUAACGUGAGUGCAGAAGGGGAGAGUGGAAUUCCAUGUGUAGCGGUGAAAUGCGUAGAUAUAUGGAGGAACACCGGUGGCGAAAGCGGCUCUCUUGUCUGUAACUGACGCUGAGGCUCGAAAGCGUGGGGAGCGAACAGG
Molecule: ribosomal RNA, 429 nt
Filed under: Bacteroidota bacterium
Lineage: Bacteria; Pseudomonadati; Bacteroidota
Description: Bacteroidetes bacterium partial 16S ribosomal RNA
Rfam family: Bacterial small subunit ribosomal RNA
Source: RNAcentral